This 76-nucleotide transfer RNA is filed under the name Patescibacteria group bacterium. RNAcentral's name for it is "tRNA-Thr". It matches the Rfam family "tRNA". From Rfam's summary of the family: Transfer RNA (tRNA) molecules are approximately 80 nucleotides in length. Their secondary structure includes four short double-helical elements and three loops (D, anti-codon, and T loops). The record is from RNAcentral. RNAcentral also lists the same sequence under 5 other names.
GCCCAUGUAGCUCAGUUGGCAGAGCACGCCCUUGGUAAGGGCGAGGUCUCCGGUUCAAUCCCGGACAUGGGCUCCA